Molecule: long non-coding RNA, 519 nt
Filed under: Homo sapiens (human)
Lineage: Eukaryota; Metazoa; Chordata; Mammalia; Primates; Hominidae
Description: non-protein coding lnc-BBS10-1:1
Source: RNAcentral
CAUUAUAUGUAAAUAUAAGUGAAAAGUAAAAUGUUUAACAUUUUCUCGUUUAAAAGCCAUUCCUAGGGAGUAGUGACUGUGUUAAUCAAAUAUCAGGGAAACUUAAACUGGGAAAAGAAGUCCUAGCUACUUUGGAAGGUCAUUGGGAUAGUGAAGUUUUUAUUACUGAUAAAAAGACUGAUAAUUCAGAGGUUUUCUGGAAUCCAACACCUGACAUUAAGCAAUGGAGAUUAAUAAGGCACACUGUAAAAUUUGAAGAACAGGGAGAUUUUGAAUCAGAGAAGUAAGUAUACUGUUUUACAGCUAACUUCAUGAGGAUCAGAGAGUAGUUUUUCAAUUCCUUAAUGAUAUGGUCAUUUUGUCACCUUCUGUCAUAUCUUAAUUCAGCAAAAUAGUUUAUCAUUUGUGGAAGUGACAGUAUUCUGUUUUUGUGUAUAUGAAUGUCAAAUAUAAUAUAAAUCGUCUUGCUUUUCUGUAGCUCAAAACUACUCAUUUUUUUCUUUCUCAAUUGUUCCAGCA